This 329-nucleotide unclassified non-coding RNA is filed under the name soil metagenome. RNAcentral describes it as "partial contains 5.8S ribosomal RNA, internal transcribed spacer 2, and large subunit ribosomal RNA". The stretch from base 1 to 120 matches the Rfam family "5.8S ribosomal RNA", at positions 35 to 154 of the family's 154-position model. The record is from RNAcentral.
GAUGAAGAACGUAGCGAAAUGCGAUAAGUAAUGUGAAUUGCAGAAUUCAGUGAAUCAUCGAAUCUUUGAACGCACAUUGCGCCCCCUGGUAUUCCGGGGGGCAUGCCUGUCCGAGCGUCAUUACAACCCUCAAGCUCAGCUUGGUGUUGGGCCCCGCCGCCCCGGCGGGCCCUAAAGUCAGUGGCGGUGCCGUCCGGCUCCGAGCGUAGUAAUUCUUCUCGCUCUGGAGGCCCGGUCGUGUGCUCGCCAGCAACCCCUAAUUUUUUUCAGGUUGACCUCGGAUCAGGUAGGGAUACCCGCUGAACUUAAGCAUAUCAAUAAGCGGAGGA